Molecule: long non-coding RNA, 200 nt
Filed under: Gossypium raimondii (Peruvian cotton)
Lineage: Eukaryota; Viridiplantae; Streptophyta; Magnoliopsida; Malvales; Malvaceae
Description: long non-coding RNA (GRAI_LNC007971)
Source: RNAcentral
ACCUUGCUGACGGCCGGAGAAGAGGAAACCGAAGGGUUUUUCGGUCUUCCUCCGAUCUUUGAAGGUUUUUAGCGAGUUUUAAGGAUAGAUCGGAGUCCCCGGGGUUAAGACGGUUUAAAAAAGGGUCACUUUAGGAUUUUCGGCCACCGCGCGCGGUGGUCGACGAUAGUGACGGUGCCAGAGCUCUCACUGAAAUCCUC